Long non-coding RNA from Pelobates fuscus (common spadefoot toad), 470 nucleotides. RefSeq lists it as uncharacterized. The transcript has 6 exons. The record is from RefSeq and is a predicted model, not a curated record. Lineage: Eukaryota; Metazoa; Chordata; Amphibia; Anura; Pelobatidae.
ACUUUACUUGAUUGCAGAAGUGAGGAAUGGAGUGUGGCAUUUUAUUAUUCAAUGGCAAAGACUGCACACACCUAUGGUAUUAGAAUGCAGAGAGAACCUGAAACUGCUGAUGUGCUAACCGGGGUGGAUCUCCCGGUAUUCUGUAACAAAGAACUUUAACAAUCAUACAGGUUUCUGCUAAAACACAAAACAUAAGAAAAUGUCUGCUGUAAUGAAAUUGUUUGGAAAAGACAACGACGACAAAGAUAAGAAGGACAAAGACAAAAAGCAGGACGGUGAAAAGAAAGACAAGAAAGAUAAAAAGAAAAAGAAAGACAAGAAGGAUGGAAGCAAGUCAGACUCCAGUUCCAGUUCAGACAGUGACUCUGAUGGAGGAAAGAAGAAAAAAGACAAGAAAUAGAAACCCAGGGAUAGAAGAAACCAGAUUUCACCCAUGAAGAAACGCCUCCAUAGAGAGGGCGUACCUGCAU